CGCGGAUGGCUCAUUACAACAGCUAAAAUUUACUCGAUCUUGACACAAUCCUACUUGGAUGACUGUGGUAAUUCUAGAGCUAAUACAUGCAUUAAAGCUCUGACCUUCGGGGAAGAGUGCAUUUAUUAGAACAAAACCAAGCGGCUUCGGCUGUUUUCGGUUGACUCAUAGUAACUGAGCUGAUCGCAUGGUCUUGCACCGGCGACGUGUCGUUCAAGUAUCUGCCGUAUCAACUUUCGAUGGUAGUGUAUCUGACUACCAUGGUGAUCACGCGUAACGGAGAAUAAGGGUUCGACUCCGGAGAGUUCGCCUGAGAAAUCGCGAACACAUCUAAGGAAGGCAGCAGGCGCGAAAAUUACCCACUCUCAGCACGAGGAGGUAGUGACGAAAAAUAACGAGACCGUUCUCUUAUGAGGCCGGUCAUCGGAAUGGGUACAAUUUAAACCCUUUAACGAGUAUCUAUGAGAGGGCAAGUCUGGUGCCAGCAGCCGCGGUAAUUCCAGCU
RNAcentral lists this ribosomal RNA (505 nucleotides) under Cervidellus vexilliger. RNAcentral's name for it is "SSU rRNA". It matches the Rfam family "Eukaryotic small subunit ribosomal RNA", at positions 88 to 590 of the family's 1831-position model. Lineage: Eukaryota; Metazoa; Nematoda; Chromadorea; Rhabditida; Cephalobidae. The record is from RNAcentral.